Molecule: long non-coding RNA, 261 nt
Filed under: Homo sapiens (human)
Lineage: Eukaryota; Metazoa; Chordata; Mammalia; Primates; Hominidae
Description: LHRI_LNC578.1
Source: RNAcentral
CUCAACUUUAAUGUUCUGAGUUCUAACUUUUAAGAAUUAUAUAAAAAGUAUUAUCCUUUUGAGUUUCAUUGGUUUUCUAUAGCUUUUUGAAAUAAUGAGCUCCCUUUACACCCAUACCAUGUGAACAAAGUUGUCCCAAAAUGGCUGCCAUGAUACUCUUAAUGCUUUCUGUCCCAAUUUCCCCACCUUAUCUACCUGUUUCCCUAUGUGAAGAAAAAAAUAUCAGCUAUAGCCUGGACUCAGGCUAUAGAUGAACCCAGG